UCUGGGCGUAAGCGUGCGCUAGGCGGUUUUGUAAGACAGAGGUGAAAUCCCCGGGCUCACCUGGGAACUGCCUUUGUGACUGCAAGGCUAGAGUACGGCAGAGGGGGAUGGAAUUCCGCGUGUAGCAGUGAAAUGCGUAGAUAUGCGGAGGAACACCGAUGGCGAAGGCAAUCCCCUGGGCCUGUACUGACGCUCAUGCACGAAAGCGUGGGGAGCAAACAGGAUUAGAUACCCUGGUAGUCCACGCCCUAAACGAUGUCAACUGGUUGUUGGGUCUUAUCUGACUCAGUAACGAAGCUAACGCGUGAAGUUGACCGCCUGGGGAGUACGGCCGCAAGGUUG
RNAcentral lists this ribosomal RNA (342 nucleotides) under uncultured bacterium. Its description in RNAcentral is "bacterial SSU rRNA". It matches the Rfam family "Bacterial small subunit ribosomal RNA", at positions 553 to 896 of the family's 1533-position model. The record is from RNAcentral.